AUGAUGGUUGCCUUGCAGGCGAGACCCUAUCAAUAAUUGCCUCUGCUUUUCUUACUGAUUUUAUGGAGUAGUACAAUAUCGCUUAUAGGGUCUUGACUCUCAGGGAUG
Molecule: microRNA precursor, 108 nt
Filed under: Salmo salar (Atlantic salmon)
Lineage: Eukaryota; Metazoa; Chordata; Actinopteri; Salmoniformes; Salmonidae
Description: mir-454 microRNA precursor family
Rfam family: mir-454 microRNA precursor family
Source: Rfam by way of RNAcentral